UCACUUUACUCUGAAGUUCCCUUUAAGAUUGACUAAUCUCUUUCGACUUUGAUAGAUUUAUCUCCUAAAAUCUUGAUAUCUUAGUCUGGAUUUGAGAUGAUUUAUAUUCUAAGUUACGUUGCCCUAUCACACACUUCAUAUGGUAUAGGCUUACUGGUAAAUAAUGUAUAAACUUCUACCACAUUUUCCUAAAGUUUAACUUAAUUACGAAGAGUGGGUGUAAAAUAUAUUGAAAUUGUUAAGGACUUGUUCAUAUAAGCUCUGGUACAGUGUUAAGCAUAAGUUUCCUUGAAGCUUAAAGUUUGUUUUCCUUAAAGUGCCCCCAAAUAGUGCAGUAUACUUCUCCAUAAUUUAUAUCUUAAUUAAGAUCCUGCUGAUUUAGCUUUUAUCUUUUAUACAGGAUUGGGGGCAGCCUGGCUUUACUUUAAUAUGAAAGAAGACGAUUUGGUAACAUCAUAAAAGAGUGUGUAACUUCACUGUUCUUUUUCAUCGUUGUGUUCUUGUUUCCUAUAUCAGCAUGGAAAAUCCCAUACCUCCCUUUGAACUUAUUAUCAACUUAUCAUUUGGAAAUUGGAUACUCUCAAGAUUUGUUAUAUUUCAUACAUGAAUCAAUCAUAAGCUAGAUUGUCAAGAUCUAUUAGUAAUAUGGUUAUUGUGCAGUUAUAAGAAAUUUUCAUAGUAGAAUUGCUAAUUUAAGAUAGUAGAUUUCAAACUAAAGUGUAAUAAGUUGCUUGGUUAAAUUUAUUUUGUGUUGUCCAAGUUAAUGGUUUAACUAGUUUAACUAUUAAUUGUUAACUCUUUGAUUCUUUAUUUUUCUUUUCUUGAUUUUGGUUUGGGUUCCAUCGAAUUUUGUAUAGUUUUUUUUCCUUCUUCACUCGAUGCCAUUUAAUACUUGAUUUUGGUUUGGGUUCCAUCAAAUUUUUUUAUUUAUUAUUUCUCGAGUAAUCACUUAAUUUGACCCUUUAUAAAGGAUAAAAUCAUUUUGAUUUAAGAAGCAGUAUUCUCUUCAUCUUAUAAUAACUGUUUUGAAUUGCAUUUGUAAUCUAAUGCAACCAUUUCAAUAAGAACCAGCUUUCAGGUGCCCCCAAACUUUUCAGCUCUAACAUGGUGCUCAUUCAGGGAUUAUUUGAUGGAAAUGAUUUAUCUGGUUCUAUACCAGAAACAUUAGGACUAGUUAAGACACUUGAGGUUCUCCGGCUUGAUAGAAAUUCCCUGACAUGAGAAGUUCCUACAAAUCUUUGUAAGAGAUGAGUUUGGAUAAUGAAGUUGGAGUGUUGGAGUAAGAAACAAAGAUGUUGGAGCAAGUUCCUAAGAUGAAACUCACACAAGAGACCAAGAAACUAAGGCAGACUUGUUUUAAAGUUAAAUACAAAAGGAGAAAACUUUUGGCUUCCAAAUCUUAUUCAUCAUCACUUAGCUAAGCUACUUGUCUUGUAUAUUCAUAUUCUAAGUAGUAAAAAUAGCACUUAUUAGAUGAUUCAAAUACAUUAUUAGAUAUUAACAUAGUUUAGGAAACUGGAUGGUAGAUUUGACUGAUUAGUGUUGAUUGUAAUGCUUGUAUUUUGAUAAGUUUAGUAAGACAAAGUUUUGUAUAGGAGUUAUUACUUUUGAUUUUUAAUAAUAAAAAAUUAUAUAUUA
This is a non-coding RNA of Arachis ipaensis, 1638 nucleotides long. The record is from RefSeq and is a predicted model, not a curated record. Lineage: Eukaryota; Viridiplantae; Streptophyta; Magnoliopsida; Fabales; Fabaceae.